This is a long non-coding RNA of Diospyros lotus (date-plum), 469 nucleotides long. RefSeq lists it as uncharacterized. The transcript is spliced from 3 exons. NCBI's taxonomy places the organism in Eukaryota, Viridiplantae, Streptophyta, Magnoliopsida, Ericales, Ebenaceae. The record is from RefSeq and is a predicted model, not a curated record.
UCCAAAGAAAAUCAAAGGUUGAUAUUUAAAAAGACUAAGUCUCUUGGAUUGUGUUUCUUUAGAGACUAGAGAUGAGUUCUUUUAAAAUCAAUGGCUAAGAUGUAAUCUUGAAAUUUGGCAUGAAUUGAGUAGAAAAGCUCUAUAAAUAGGGAGUUGAGAAUUUAGUUCAAGGUUUUCCCACUUAUGAAGAGAAAGAAAGCAAGAAGAGCUAAGGUUGGGAGAAGGAAGAAAAAAGACAAGAAAGGUGAUUAAAAGCCAAAGAGAGAGUCUUGGCAAGUGAAGGCUUGAAGCUUCAAGAAAUAAAGAGGUCAUUUGACCUCUAUGUAGGUGGAGAAUCAUCUAAGGGAAAAGGAGUUUUGCAAGAUUAAAGGUAAUGAAGAAAGGAGAAAUGCAUGUGAAGUGUAUGUAUUUUGUGGGUUUAGUGAGAAAUGUUGUAUUUAUUUUGUUAAAUAUGUAAUGAAUGCUUAAU